AAGAUAAAUCUCAUUCUUUGCAAGAUCCGCACUGGGUAUUUCUUCUCUUCUUCUCUUCAUUCACACCUGUUCUCUCAUCUCUCUUCUCAAAUUCACCAGAUCCGCCAAAGACGCAGUCCACACCGGAGCUCCGCCUUGCCCUUCCUCCUUCUCUUUUCUCCUCCCACCCCGAUGAGAACUAGAAAGAGAACGGGAAGCUCUCAAGGCCUCAAUCAUCUUCUCCAGCCCUACAUUUUUGGAGGAUAAAUCACUAAUUCCUGUCAACCUCUGGAUGAACAAUGCUCAAGCUAGAUCAAGCACUCACUAUGAUCCACACCAUAGCCUUCUCUGCUUAGUUUCUUGCUGUAAACAAGUGGUUUUAUGGCCUCCUUCAGCAGCUCUGGUGUUAUACCCUAUGCCAAUAUUUGGGGAGGCAUCAAAUCAU
Rosa rugosa (rugosa rose) is the source of this 424-nucleotide long non-coding RNA. RefSeq lists it as uncharacterized. The record is from RefSeq and is a predicted model, not a curated record. NCBI's taxonomy places the organism in Eukaryota, Viridiplantae, Streptophyta, Magnoliopsida, Rosales, Rosaceae. The transcript is spliced from 4 exons.